CACGGAGUUAGCCGGUGCUUAUUCGUAUAGUACCUUCAGCUACCCUCACGAGGGUAGGUUUAUCCCUAUACAAAAGAAGUUUACAACCCAUAGGGCAGUCGUCCUUCACGCGGGAUGGCUGGUUCAGGCUUGCACCCAUUGACCAAUAUUCCUCACUGCUGCCUCCCGUAGGAGUCUGGUCCGUGUCUCAGUACCAGUGUGGGGGAUCACCCUCUCAGGCCCCCUAAAGAUCAUCGCCUUGGUGAGCCGUUACCUCACCAACUAGCUAAUCUUGCGCGUGCCCAUCUCUAUCCGCCGGAGCUUUCAAUAUUAAACGAUGCCGUUCAAUAUAUUAUGGAGUAUUAAUCUUCCUUUCGAAAGGCUAUCCCCCAGAUAAAGGCAGGUUGCACACGUGUUCCGCACCCGUACGCCGCUCUCUCAUUUCCGAAGAAACAAUACCGCUCGGCUUGCAUGUGUUAGGCCUCCCGCUAGCGUUCAUCCUGAGCCAGGAUCAAACUCU
RNAcentral lists this ribosomal RNA (499 nucleotides) under uncultured Cloacibacterium sp. RNAcentral describes it as "partial 16S ribosomal RNA". Lineage: Bacteria; Pseudomonadati; Bacteroidota; Flavobacteriia; Flavobacteriales; Weeksellaceae. The record is from RNAcentral.